UUAAAGAAUCUAUCCAUGUGGUUUUUGAUGAAUCUAAUGACAACUCUCAUAGAAAAGAAGAUGUUUUAAAUAAGGAUGCAGAAAUUUUGACUAACAAAAUGAAUAAUCUUACACUAAAGAAUGAUCCACCUCGAAGUGAAGAAGAAGACUUAAAGAAGAAUGAUAAAGAAGAGAAUAUUAUAGAACCCACUCCAAAACAAAAGGAUGAACUACCA
Molecule: long non-coding RNA, 215 nt
Filed under: Elaeis guineensis (African oil palm)
Lineage: Eukaryota; Viridiplantae; Streptophyta; Magnoliopsida; Arecales; Arecaceae
Description: long non-coding RNA (EGUI_LNC024549)
Source: RNAcentral